RNAcentral lists this ribosomal RNA (497 nucleotides) under uncultured bacterium. Its description in RNAcentral is "partial 16S ribosomal RNA". It matches the Rfam family "Bacterial small subunit ribosomal RNA", at positions 28 to 507 of the family's 1533-position model. The record is from RNAcentral.
GAUGAACGCUGGCGGCGUGCCUAAUACAUGCAAGUCGAGCGAACGGACGAGAAGCUUGCUUCUCUGAUGUUAGCGGCGGACGGGUGAGUAACACGUGGAUAACCUACCUAUAAGACUGGGAUAACUUCGGGAAACCGGAGCUAAUACCGGAUAAUAUUUUGAACCGCAUGGUUCAAAAGUGAAAGACGGUCUUGCUGUCACUUAUAGAUGGAUCCGCGCUGCAUUAGCUAGUUGGUAAGGUAACGGCUUACCAAGGCAACGAUGCAUAGCCGACCUGAGAGGGUGAUCGGCCACACUGGAACUGAGACACGGUCCAGACUCCUACGGGAGGCAGCAGUAGGGAAUCUUCCGCAAUGGGCGAAAGCCUGGCGGAGCAAUGCCGCGUGAGUGAUGAAGGUCUUCGGAUCGUAAAACUCUGUUAUUAGGGAAGAACAUAUGUGUAAGUAACUGUGCACAUCUUGACGGUACCUAAUCAGAAAGCCACGGCUAACUACGUG